Octodon degus (degu) is the source of this 1455-nucleotide RNA transcript. It is a transcript of the gene named proliferation-associated protein 2G4-like, with no coding region annotated. NCBI's taxonomy places the organism in Eukaryota, Metazoa, Chordata, Mammalia, Rodentia, Octodontidae. The transcript is spliced from 2 exons. The record is from RefSeq and is a predicted model, not a curated record.
AUGUCAGGCAAGGACGAGCAGCAGGAGUAAACUAUCACUGAAGACCUGGCCAUGACCAAGUAUAAGAUGAGGGGUGACAUCGCCAACUGGGUACUUCAAGCUUUGGUGGAAGCAUCCAGCUCAGGUGUGUCAGUAUUGAGCCUGUGUGAGAAACGUGAUGCCAUGAUUAUGGAAGAGACAGGAAAAAUCUUCAAGAAAGAGAAGGAAAUGGAGAAAGGUAUUGCCUUUCCAGCUAGCAUUUAAGUAAAUAACUGUGCCAAUUCUCCCCUUUGAAGAGUGACCAGGAUUAUAUUCUCAAGGAAGGUGACUUGGUAAAAAUUGACCUUGGUGUUCAUGUGGAUGAUUUCAUUGCUAAUGUGGCUCACACUUUUGUCAUUGGUGUGUCUCAGGGAACCAAAGUAACAGGGAGGAAAGCAGAUGUCAUUAAAGCAGAUGUCAUUAAGGCAGCUCACCUAUGUGCUGAAGCUGCCCUACGUUUAGUCAUACCUGGAAACCAGAACACACAAGUGACAGAAGCCUGGAACAAAGUUGCCCAUUCAUUUAAUUGCACACCAAUAGAAGGUAUGCUGUCACAUCAGUUGAAGCAGCAUGUCAUCAACGGAGAGAAGACCAUCAUCCAGAAUCCCACAGACCAGCAGAAGAAGGACCAUGAAAAGACUGAAUUUGAGGUACAUGAAGUAUAUGUUGUGGAUGUUCUUGUCAGCUCAGGAGAGAGCAAGACUAAGGAUGCAGGACAGAGAACUGCCAUUUACAAAUGAGACCCCUCCAAACAGUAUGACCUGAAAAUGAAAACUUCACGGGCCUUUUUCAGUGAGGUGGAAAGGUGUUUUGAUGCUAUGCCAUUUACUUUAAGAGCAUUUGAAGAUGAGAAGAAGGCUUGGAUGGGUGUGGUGGAAUGUGCUAAACAUGAGCUGCUUCAACCAUUUAAUGUUCUCUAUGAGAAGGAUGGUGAAUUUGUUGCUCAGUUUAAAUUUAUAGUUCUACUCAGGCCCAAUGGCCCCAUGUGGAUAACAAGUGGUCCCUUUAAGCCCAACCUCUACAAGUCAGAGAUAGAGGUCCAGGAUGCAGAACUAAAGGCCCUCCUUCAGAGUUCUGCAAGUCAGAAAACCCAAAAAACAGUGGAAAAAGGAGGCCACCAAGAUUGCAGAGAAUGCCACCAGUGGGGAAACACUAGAAGAGAAUGGAGCUGAGGACUGAGAUGGGUCUUGUAUCCCCAGAUUGCUGCUCUUGCCUCAUCCCUUCCCACUACACCUAGGCUCUGUGAAGUGCAAUCUGACAUCUCCACCCAGGACCACCAGCAGAGUGGGGUCUCCUUGCCCCCCCAGCCCCCAGCCCACUCUCUCCACACCAACAACCAGCUCUACUGACUCUGGUCUUGGGAGGCCAGGCUUCCCAGCCACCUAACACUACUUUAAAUAGAAAAAAGGAAAUUGAAUAAUAAAAUCAGGAGUCAAA